This is a long non-coding RNA of Mauremys reevesii (Reeves's turtle), 691 nucleotides long. RefSeq lists it as uncharacterized. NCBI's taxonomy places the organism in Eukaryota, Metazoa, Chordata, Testudines, Geoemydidae. The record is from RefSeq and is a predicted model, not a curated record. The transcript has 2 exons.
UGCUGUACUUGUUUGUGCUGCAGUUUGUUACACAAAAGGCCCAGGAAGAAUUCAGAGCAGUUUUGACUGCAUUUUGUCUUCCAAAAACAAGUUUCUUCCACUGAAGAAUGUGUCACGGUCUCCUCCUCCCCUCCUGAAUAGGGGAGCAGGCAGACACAAAUGAAUCAUGUCUAUGUUGCCAAUUUGGUGCUUACCUCUUGGUGUAAGCUACAAAAUAUUUCCUGUCGCUUGUUUAGGAAGAAACUUUCCUCCAGGCGUCAAUGCCUAAUCCAGUAAUACAAGGCACUGCAAUGAAUUCCAUCUUGUUCAAUCAACAAGCUAUUAGACAGAAACAGUAUUCCAAUCAGAAUCCCCAUUCACCUACCCAAACUGUAAUGUUGCUUUCCCCACUAAGACAGGAGAGCCAAUAUGUUGUGGAUAAUGAUGUUUUCCUGUGGUCUAUCUAUUCCCUGAAUUCUAAUUUUCAACAGCUAGCUUCCAGAUGUGUCUAACGGUUCAUGAAAGGUAGUGAUCCAUCUGAAAUUCCUUGGGACAGUCCCGACUUUUUGACUCUAAUCUUUGAGGCUCUUUAACAUCAAAGUUCAGGUGAAGGAAAGCUGAAGGAACAGAAGGUGUGGAUAGAGCCCUGACCGUCUGCAAGAUUCCACUCUGUUCUAAGAAAUAAAAUCAAGUGAGAAACAUUUCAACAGUA